GAUUGUAUAAUACGUAAGUAUUAUACGAGGUAAUGAAUACAAGUAUAAUACGAGGUAUUAUACGAGUAUGUAUGAAUGAUGGAAUGUCGUAUAUUAAAUAAGUAUACGAGUUGGAAUACGAGAAUUAUACGUAGAUUAUACGUUAUAAAGCGUUAAGAUAAAUGUAAUGGACUUGUAGGAAUGUGUAGGAGAUUGUAAUGUCCAAU
Molecule: long non-coding RNA, 206 nt
Filed under: Panax ginseng (ginseng)
Lineage: Eukaryota; Viridiplantae; Streptophyta; Magnoliopsida; Apiales; Araliaceae
Description: long non-coding RNA (PGIN_LNC018416)
Source: RNAcentral